RNAcentral lists this transfer RNA (72 nucleotides) under Bos taurus (domestic cattle). It matches the Rfam family "tRNA". From Rfam's summary of the family: Transfer RNA (tRNA) molecules are approximately 80 nucleotides in length. Their secondary structure includes four short double-helical elements and three loops (D, anti-codon, and T loops). RNAcentral also lists the same sequence under 3 other names. Lineage: Eukaryota; Metazoa; Chordata; Mammalia; Artiodactyla; Bovidae. The record is from Rfam by way of RNAcentral.
UCUCUGCUAGCUCAACUGGUAAAGAAUCUGUCUGGAAUGCAGGAGACCCUGGUUUGAUUCCUGGGUAAGGAA